CGGGACGGGGUGGAGUAAUGUCUGGGAAACUGCCUGAUGGAGGGGGGUAACUACUGGAAACGGUAGCUAAUACCGCAUAACGUCGCAAGACCAAAGAGGGGGACCGUUCGGGCCUCUUGCCAUCGGAUGUGCCCAGAUGGGAUUAGCUAGUAGGUGGGGUAACGGCUCACCUAGGCGACGAUCCCUAGCUGGUCUGAGAGGAUGGCCAGCCACACUGGAACUGAGACACGGUCCAG
This 236-nucleotide ribosomal RNA is filed under the name uncultured bacterium. RNAcentral describes it as "partial 16S ribosomal RNA". It matches the Rfam family "Bacterial small subunit ribosomal RNA", at positions 104 to 334 of the family's 1533-position model. The record is from RNAcentral.